CAGUCGACGCACUUUCGUUAUUGAUUUUGAGAUGCUUGCAUCGAAGAUGAUUUUAACUAUAAAGUGAGUGGCGAACGGGUGAGUAACACGUGGGUAACCUGCCCAGAAGUGGGGGAUAACACCUGGAAACAGAUGCUAAUACCGCAUAACAAAAUUAACCGCAUGGUUGAUUUUUAAAAGAUGGCUUCGGCUAUCACUUCUGGAUGGACCCGCGGCGUAUUAGCUAGUUGGUGAGAUAAAGGCUCACCAAGGCAGUGAUACGUAGCCGACCUGAGAGGGUAAUCGGCCACAUUGGGACUGAGACACGGCCCAGACUCCUACGGGAGGCAGCAGUAGGGAAUCUUCCACAAUGGACGCAAGUCUGAUGGAGCAACGCCGCGUGAGUGAUGAAGGCUUUCGGGUCGUAAAACUCUGUUGUUGGAGAAGAACGUGUGUGAGAGUAACUGCUCAUGCAGUGACGGUAUCCAACCAGAAAGCCACGGCUAACUACGUGCCAGCAGCCGCGGUAAUACGUAGGUGGCAAGCGUUAUCCGGAUUUAUUGGGCGUAAAGCGAGCGCAGGCGGUCUUUUAAGUCUAAUGUGAAAGCCUUCGGCUUAACCGAAGAAGUGCAUUGGAAACUGGGAGACUUGAGUGCAGAAGAGGAGAGUGGAACUCCAUGUGUAGCGGUGAAAUGCGUAGAUAUAUGGAAGAACAUCAGUGGCGAAUGCGGCUCUCUGGUCUGCAACUGACGCUGACGCUCGAAAGCAUGGGUAGCGAACAGGAUCUAGAUACCUGGUAGUCCAUGCUCGUAAACUGAUGACUGCUAAGUAGUCGUAGGGCUUUCGCCCUUCAGUGCUGCAGCUAACGCAUUAGCAUGCCGCCUGGGGGA
This 869-nucleotide ribosomal RNA is filed under the name Pediococcus ethanolidurans. RNAcentral describes it as "bacterial SSU rRNA". It matches the Rfam family "Bacterial small subunit ribosomal RNA", at positions 59 to 880 of the family's 1533-position model. Lineage: Bacteria; Bacillati; Bacillota; Bacilli; Lactobacillales; Lactobacillaceae. The record is from RNAcentral.